GCUGCGCUCAGAUGAUUUAUAAUAAUCCAGAGAGUUCACCGUCAGAACAAACCAACGCUUCUUCAGCUUCAGAGACGAGCUCUUCAUACUCGACCUCAUCUCUUUAUGCAGCCAGCCUGAAAGAGACAGACAGCUUUAGGUCCUGUCUCACCCGCUUUAGUCCUGUCUCGCUCGCUUUAGUCUUGUCUCGCACGCUUUAGGUCCUGUGUCGCCUGCUUUAGUCCUGUCUCGCACGCUUUAGGUCCUGUAUCGCACGCUUUAGGUCCUGUCUCGCACGCUUUAGUCCUGUCUCACCUCUGACGAUGAAGUCCUGCCCAUCACUGCGUGCCUCUCCUCUGGGUUUGUGUAACAGUCCGAUCCAGUGGUGCAUCUCCUCAGGCAGGUCUGCGUUACAGUGGAUCACUCGAUUGGCUGUGAUGAUCACGAACGAGUUCGGCCUGAGACAACAGAGAGGACAUCACAGACAUCAGAGGGAAGAACACUUUAGCUCCUUUACCUAGAAAGGGACAUGUUGUUUACUGUUAAAGCUGUGAAUAAGAUAAGAUGGACCUUUAUUGAUCUCCUGUAGGGGAAAUUCCAUAAUGAAAAGACACUAAGGGUACUAAAGGUGUAUGCUUGAGGGUUCCACCCCAGCAACAAGGAACAGUACUGUUUAGUUCCCAUUUUUCUGAGUGUAAAUAUAAUAUAAAGCAUUGCGAUAUAACAUCACUUAUAACGGUCCAGUUAUGUGCUUUAAAGAGUUUUAAAUGUGUAACUUCACUUUUCCAUGUAUUAUUGGUGUAAAAGCCAUUCCACUGACACGUACCUUUAAAAGUAUUCAUUUAUAUCUUCGAGUAAUUAAGAUUAUAGUAAACACAGACUUAAGAAACUUUAUUACUAACUUCAUUCCGCAGUAAAGCUUUAACCAUCAUUCUACUUUAUUUUCUUUUGGAGAAGAAAAACAAACCCAAAACAUGAAUCUGUGUUCUAACAAAACCUCAAUACUGUAGCAUCCGUGCCGAUAAAGAGUUUUUAGUACAGAAUUUUACUAUAUUAUUAAUUAUUAUUACAUUAAAUUAUUUUUACCUGUCAGGAUUGUCUGAGGCGCAAACUGAGUCGAUGAGCCCAACAUCCAGAGUUCCCUAAAAAGAUCAACAAAAAAGAGUAAAGAUCAAAUAAACAGAAUUCAACAGUUAAACAAUU
Molecule: long non-coding RNA, 1182 nt
Organism: Ictalurus punctatus (channel catfish)
Lineage: Eukaryota; Metazoa; Chordata; Actinopteri; Siluriformes; Ictaluridae
Exons: 2
Source: RefSeq, a predicted model, not a curated record